Molecule: long non-coding RNA, 2798 nt
Filed under: Calidris pugnax (ruff)
Lineage: Eukaryota; Metazoa; Chordata; Aves; Charadriiformes; Scolopacidae
Description: lncRNA (ENSCPUG00000002704.1)
Source: RNAcentral
CACAAAGGGCCGUCCUGCCAGCUGGGAAAUUGCUGGAGCAUGCCGAGUGCCGGGGCCGGAGGAAGGAGUGAAAUCAAGUUUAUGCACUUGUCAGGGGAGCUGCGGUGCGGGAGUGGAUCCAGCCCCUCUGCGCAGCCGUUACAGCCCCGACAGCACCCGGGUGGCACAGCCCUGACAGCUCCGGUCCUUGCACCUCUGCUGGCAUGGGAACAUGCCUGUUGGAUCAUGGGCAGGAGCGCACACCGGCUCUGGGUGGAGCUGAAUGCAAUGCCCGCAUUUGUGGUUAGCUACAAGCAAAACAUUAUGAAGAUGAUGGUAUUCAGACACAUACUCAAACAACUGGAUUCAGACAAAAAGGAUGCAAGACUGACCAGCAAGAGAAGAACAGCCCUUGGUCCUGAUCCCAUCAAGGCUGGAGGCAAAACUGCUGAUGGUGUCGGUGAUGGCAAUGGAGUGCACUCCCCUGAGGCUCCCUGACUCCCAUCUCAUUAACACCUGGAUUACUUCACCCUCUAAUCCAGUCAUCGGUACCCGGGCGCAGAUGUGUUUCACAGCUUUGCCAUGUUUGAUUGAUUCUGUUAUUUGUGUAUGCAGCUGUACCACUGCCUUUAUUUAUUUAUUUGUUUUAAUAUAUUGCACAGAUGCAUACAAAUGUAUCUCAGAGACCUUUUCCCCUUCACAGACAACUUCUCGUUGUGCCUUCUACUGGGCAGUCAGGUGAAGUUGUCUUUACUACUGUGGAUUUUAUCAAUUUGAAAUCUAAACAAUUAAAAUAGAAAAGGUAAGCAGUUUCAGGCAGCAAAGUGGCCCUUGAAUGCCUCAGUCAAAUUUUGCAUUUAUGCACCGAAUUUUUCAUCUUUUUUUUAACAUGAUUUUCUUCCACUUGUUACUUUAUGUUAGUCUGUAUAAAAGAUGAAAUGGACUGUUGAGGUGGAAAGUGGAAGCUGUUGGUACACAAAAUGCUUUCAAAUGCAGAAACUAAGCAAAUGGGCAGAGGUUUUGUACUUCCCUGCCCAUCCCUCCCAAUCUCUUUUGUUAAUAAUGACUUUGCUUAUUACUUAAAGCCAUUGCAGAUCUAGAAAACAGCAGAAAAGCUUAACUUUGGAAGUUCAACUAUUUAGUGUGUGAGUAAACUUUGCCCUUGUAAAGUUUGGCCCCCUUUCAUGCAAAGAUUUGACUUAAAAAUGAUAUCUGUAUGGAGUUCAAUGUUGAAAAGGUGUUGGGAGCAUGUCACAGUCACAAGCAGUGUGCACUGUAAAUUGUUAUGAGUUUAUUGAAAAUAAGAUUUGGGGUGGUUGUUCAUAAACAAUCUAUUGCUCUACUGGGCCUCAGAAAAAACAAAUUUAAAAAAAAGUUGUCUGUUUUUCCAGUGUUCAACACCGCCUGUGGUGGCAGGAUGUUGCUCUGCAGUGACCAGGUCUUCCCUGCUCAGCUGCAGGCUGUGUGCUGUGAUGAAAAUCACUCCUAGCAGACAGUGAGCACCUGUCAUCGGGAGGGGAACCUACUCUAUGCUCAUCAUAGAUGAAAGGUUCUGGCUGGGGUGAAAACCAAUCCCUCAUGUGCUGCUGUCUCAUGGCGACAUCGUUGCCCCCCAUCAUCCUGGGGAGUGACAUGAGACAUCUGGUAAGGUCAUCUUCUCCACCUGCACUGCCCCUGUCUCACGAUCAAGUCCCUGCUCUGGGUUGGACCAAGAACCUGAAUACCAAGAUCUGUUCUCAGCAGAAAGCCCAUGAAAUAUAACCCCCUAUACUUAUUUGAGAGCCAUUUGUGUCAUUAGCAAGAUACUUGGAGCCAACAAUUUUUGCUGUAGGUACAUAAUUACCCUUUUCCCAAACACAACCCCAGAGCAUGUAUUCUUCAUAUCAGUGCUCUCUAGGUCUUCCUCCUUUUCACAAGCAAGAAGCCUUAGCUCCAAGUCAAUGUCAACUCUGCUGUCUCUCCUAGCUUACCUUGUAUGAUGAAUAUUCUCGUUUGUGCUAUUUUGACCUUCUCCAGCAGAAGGUGUGGUAGCCCUUUAGAGGAGCUCUCUGGAAGUAGCCUUGGAUCCUUUUUCAACCAAUGAGUGCCCUGCGUGAGAUGCUUCCCUUUCUGUUGCCCUAAAAAUAAGAAUUACGUUGCUCUGCUGCGGUCACAUCUCUUGAUGAGUGAACAGAGCUUCUUGAAACCAGCAGGCUAUACUGUAUAUUCAAGCUUCCUAGAUUCCAUUAACAUUUUGUUAAUGAAAUAGUGCUUUGUCAAAGAGUCUUGAAAACUUAAAAGGGUAUUUAAGCUUCUUCCAUGAGUCAAUACCAUGUAAUGUCAACAUUACCACGAAGGGAUAAUUCGGAGAUGUCACACAAAGCAUGUGUUAUGCCAUUUGCAGUCUAGCAAAACAGCUCAGCAUUUAUGUUGUUUAAUCCAUCUUCAAAAAUCUUUUGUUCUGAAAAAGUUUGAGAUCAAUCUUGUCAGUAUUUACUGACACAAAGCUGAUGUAAGUCGCUGUGCUCCUAUUGACUUCAUCUGAGUUGUAACGAUUUACCCCAGCCUCGAAUUAAGCCCAAAUUAGGCAUAUGAAGAACUUGAUAUCAAACUUUUAAGGAAUAUAGAGAUGAAUGGUACACACCCUGCAAAUGAAAAUGUGAAGAGAAGUAGAGCGAAGGAAGUAAAUAGUUUGCAGUGAUCUGGGACAGGACAGGCACAAUUUGAAGAGACUUGAAGAAACACAUUAUCUACAAUUUUGCAUUUAUGAAAUAAUCUACUUCUCUAGCUAGAAGUAAAUAGGAAAUAAAGAAAUAGACAGUUCAGAUCUGAGCUCUGGC